Non-coding RNA from Ictidomys tridecemlineatus (thirteen-lined ground squirrel), 2206 nucleotides. The record is from RefSeq and is a predicted model, not a curated record. NCBI's taxonomy places the organism in Eukaryota, Metazoa, Chordata, Mammalia, Rodentia, Sciuridae.
ACUUGUGGUCGCCAGGGGUUUUUAGUUGCGAGGCCGCUCUCUUGUUCCGCGAUCUAUUGAGAGUGGCUUCACAGAGCCCCGGUAGCUGUCGGGGAGGGAGGGAAGAUGGCGGCUGUGGCGGCGGGCGGCCUGGUGGGGAAGGGGCGCGACAUCAGCCUAGCAGCCCUGCAGCGCCACGACCCCUAUAUCAACCGCAUCGUGGACGUGGCUAGCCAGGUGGCCCUGUACACUUUCGGCCAUCGGGCCAACGAGUGGGAGAAGACUGAUGUGGAAGGAACCUUAUUUGUGUAUACAAGGUCUGCUUCUCCAAAGCAUGGAUUCACCAUUAUGAAUAGGCUGAGCAUGGAAAAUAGAACAGAACCCAUUACUAAAGACCUGGAUUUCCAACUCCAGGACCCUUUCCUCCUCUACAGAAAUGCCAGAUUGUCCAUUUAUGGAAUUUGGUUUUACGAUAAGGAAGAAUGCCAAAGAAUUGCAGAGCUUAUGAAAAACCUAACUCAGUAUGAACAGUUGAAAGCCCAUCAGGGAGCUACAGCAGGAAUUUCCCCAGUGAUGCCCAAUUCUGGAGAGGGCAAAGAAGUAGAUAUCUUACGAAUGCUUACCAAAGCCAAAGAUGAAUACACAAAGUGUAAAACCUGUUCCGAGCCAAAACAGAUAACGAGUUCAUCUGCCAUCUAUGAUAACCCUAAUCUCAUCAAACCAAUCCCAGUAAAACCCAGUGACAACCAGCAGCAGCUCAUACCUCAGCCCAGCCAGACCUUAGACCCUGAACCCCAACACUUAUCCUUGACAGCUCUGUUUGGGAAGCAGGACAAAGCUAUCUGUCCAGAAACUGUAGCACUCCCCCACACUCCCCAGCAACAACAGCAGCAGCAGCAGCAGCAGCAACAGCAGCAGCAAGAGAAAUUUCCAGUUAGGCAGGGAGUUGUACGCUCCCUGUCCUAUGAGGAGCCCAGACCUCUCAUGGAGAAGCAGCUUUGUCCAGCCAUUCAAAAACUCAUGAUCAGAAACACGGACCUGCACCCACUGUCAGAGCUGCCUGAACAACGGCCCUGUGAGAAUGGAAACUCCUAUUCUGCCAGGGAAAUUAUUCCUGGACCUCUCCAGCCAGGGUCUCCCCAUAACAUCAGGACUUCACAUGCUGGGCACAGCACUUCCAGAACACAGAACCUGUUAGAGAAACUCCAGAGUACCCCAGGGGCAGCGAACAAGUAUGACCUUAGUACACCAGGCCCUGUGAGCCCAGCUGCCCCCAACAGCAGCAGAACCUUCUCUGCUGCCACUCCUGUGACUCCAGCCAAGGACCUGGCCCAGCCACAAUUGGUGUAUUUCAAUGGCUCCCUUCCACCUCAGAUGCUAGGACAUCAGGCUCAUGGAAAGGGACAGUCCACCCUGCCAAGACAAAUGCUCCCUGUCUCUGACAGUCAGACGAGCAGUCCUGGGGUGAUCUCCCCCCAGGAGUUACUGAGAAAGCUCCAGGUUGUACAACAGGAGCAGCAGCUACAGACCUCUCACCGUCCAGCCUUGGCAGCCAAGUUCCCUGUGGUGACCCAGAGCUCUAGGACAGGCAAACCCUUGGAGCCAUGGAUCAACAGGACAUCCAGCACAGAGAAGCAGGCUCCUCUUUUGCAGGUCAUCUCACCUCAGCGCACUCCUGCUACAGUGGCUCCUUCUCUGCUCAUGUCCCCCAUGGUGUUCACAAAAGCCUCCAGCACCCCACCGAGGGAGAGGGAUAAUGGGCUCUUGCUCCUGGGAGGCCAGGAAUCACCUGCUGCCCCCACCAGCCUCCUCCUGCCCCUGCAGAACCCGGAGCCCUCUGUGGUAGCCGGCAGCCCACUCACCAGGCUGCAGCUCCAAGAAGCACUGCUAUAUCUGGUUCAGAAUGAUGACAACUUCUUAAAUAUAAUCUAUGAAGCCUAUCUCUUCAGCAUGACACAAGCAGCCCUGAAAAAGACUAUGUGAAAGCAAAUCAUUUUAAAACUGAUUUCCAAGGUCCUUCUAGAAUUCCAGCACAAGGUUCUUUUGUGUGAAGUGGUAUAAACUAAAAUGUUUCUGCCUUUUUUAAAAAACAGGAUUCUGCUUUCUUCUCUUGAAUGAUAAAGAUGCAAAUCAGAGAAGAAAGAAAUCCCCCUAAAGAAAUCUCAGCUAUUGAAUACACCAGCUCUCUUCCAUUCUCUUGGGUGUUAAAGAGAAAACCAACAGUUCC